This 448-nucleotide long non-coding RNA is filed under the name Lepidothrix coronata (blue-crowned manakin). Its description in RNAcentral is "lncRNA (ENSLCOG00000006564.1)". The record is from RNAcentral. Lineage: Eukaryota; Metazoa; Chordata; Aves; Passeriformes; Pipridae.
CACUCACACUGUAAACCUUUUUCCUUCUUUCUUACAGGUACAGGGUACAUAGAUACCUCUUAUGGGUGGGAAAUCCUUGUUACCCUUACUGUUCUUCUUGCUGCAUUGAGCAUCAUCGCAACAGCUUUGCUUCUGUGGAAAAGAAAGGUGUUGUGCCCUAGAAGGAGCCAGCUAAAUAUCCUGAGACAGAAGGUGGAAACUCAGCUCCCUUCAGCCAGCCCACCACCACCACCUCCUGUCUAUGAUAGCCUGGACGUGCGGCAAAUUGAUAUCUAUUCUGUCCUCGAGAACAAUACAAAGAACCCUUCACUCAAAAAAAAUCCUCCAAGAAAGACACCUCAGAAGCAAGCAACUCUAGAAGAAUCCUCUGAUACACUGUAUGAGAAUAUCUAACGGGGAAAGAUAUCUGACCCAGUGUGGACCAGACAUCUUUCUGUGUGGCAGAGCU